AUUGUAUUACAACAUCUGUGAUCAGUUGUUAAAUUUAAGCAAAGUAAUAGAAUUUAGAAAUAAGAUUGACUCAAACAUAUAAUGCUGGCAGCAUUCUGAAAGGCAAAGGGUUGUUGAGCUUGAGAAAACCAAACUGCCGACUGAAACAGACAAGACAGCAAGAAAUGAGCAAGACCAAGAAGGACAUAAAGGCAAAGUCGAAAACUGACAUGGGGGAAGACUUGAGCAAUGACUAUUUUGACAUCAAAGCCGAAAUAGAUAAAAUGAUAAGGAUGUACAAAACCAUCAAUGCAGAAAAUGAAAUAAAGAGGUUGCAGGAAAUCAACAAAAUAGAAGCUAUGUUUAAAAAGCUGUAAUCAUGUAUUCAAAUGAAAAAAAAAAAUU
Long non-coding RNA from Cimex lectularius (bed bug), 384 nucleotides. RefSeq lists it as uncharacterized. Lineage: Eukaryota; Metazoa; Arthropoda; Insecta; Hemiptera; Cimicidae. The transcript has 2 exons. The record is from RefSeq and is a predicted model, not a curated record.